GACGAACCGUGCGAACGUUGUUCGGAAUCACUGGGCUUAAAGGGCGCGUAGGCGGGCUGCCAAGUCCGGGGUGAAAUCUUUCGGCUCAACCGGAAAAUAGCCCUGGAUACUGGCAGUCUGGAGGGAGGUAGGGGCAUGUGGAACUUCCGGUGGAGCGGUGAAAUGCGUAGAUAUCGGAAGGAACGCCGGUGGCGAAAGCGACGUGCUGGACCUCUUCUGACGCUGAGGCGCGAAAGCCAGGGGAGCAAACGGG
Molecule: ribosomal RNA, 253 nt
Filed under: uncultured bacterium
Lineage: Bacteria
Description: partial 16S ribosomal RNA
Rfam family: Bacterial small subunit ribosomal RNA
Source: RNAcentral